GGUAACCUGCCUUAUAGUGGGGGAGUAGCCUUUCGAAAGGAAGAUUAAUACCGCAUAAGAUUGUAGUAUCGCAUGAUAUAGCAAUUAAAGGAGCAAUUCGCUAUAAGAUGGACCCGCGUCGCAUUANCUAGUUGGUGAGGUAAUGCUCACCAAGGCGACGAUGCGUAGCCGACCUGAGAGGGUGAUCGGCCACAUUGGGACUGAGACACGGCCCAGACUCCUACGGGAGGCAGCAUG
RNAcentral lists this ribosomal RNA (237 nucleotides) under uncultured bacterium. RNAcentral's name for it is "partial 16S ribosomal RNA". It matches the Rfam family "Bacterial small subunit ribosomal RNA", at positions 120 to 353 of the family's 1533-position model. The record is from RNAcentral.